CAUUUUCCACUUGAAGGGACUUUCUGAAGAGAAACCUGAGCAGACUUUACCUCAGCUCCUAUUGGCCAGGGAUGUUGUGGAACUCUAGACUAUGUCUUAUUAGCCCUGUACCUCAGAAGAAAAAAAAAUCUCAUUAAUUCCAGGCCUGGCAGUCACCCUUCACUUCCUUUGCCAUUUCUAAGAAAGUUAAAGAAAAUGGAUCUCAGAGAGAAGAAAUGAUCAACCCAUGAUGGAUAGCUAAUAAGUUCCAGAGGAAGAAUUUAAACCCAAUUUUCUCUGACUCAAUGUUUAGCCUCCAUAUAUCUGAUCUUACUCAUCUCAUACCACUGAGCUUUAAAUCUAGUGAGUGCUUAAUAAAUCCAUGGUGAAAUGUUGUGGAGUGCCA
RNAcentral lists this long non-coding RNA (385 nucleotides) under Monodelphis domestica (gray short-tailed opossum). RNAcentral's name for it is "lncRNA (ENSMODG00000050955.1)". The record is from RNAcentral. Lineage: Eukaryota; Metazoa; Chordata; Mammalia; Didelphimorphia; Didelphidae.